AUUCACCACCCAUCUGUGAACCUCUUUGGCCUUGCGUCGGUUUCGGCUGGCGGAAGGAUUUUACACAUACUCCGAAUGUAAUGAAAAUAUUAUUGUGCACAAGCACUAAUGUACAACUUUCAACAACGGAUCUCUUGGCUCUCGCAUCGAUGAAGAACGCAGCGAAAUGCGAUAAGUAAUGUGAAUUGCAGAAUUCAGUGAAUCAUCGAAUCUUUGAACGCACCUUGCACCCUUUGGUAUUCCGAAGGGUAUGCUCGUUUGAGUGUCAUUGUACUCUCACACUCUCCGAUUUCAGAUCGGGAGUAGGUGGACUUGGAUGUUGCUGCUUUGUUGUCAGGCUCAUCUCAAAUGUCUUAGUGCAACUCUACUUGGAUAUAGUACAGCGUGAUAAGUAUCUUCGCUGGCCACUCAUGAGAGGAUGUCCAAUUCGGAGCUCUGUGCUUCAAACUGUCCUUCGGACAAUCUCCGACAACUUGACCUCAAAUCGAGUAGGACUACCCGCUGAACUUAA
Molecule: ribosomal RNA, 511 nt
Filed under: uncultured fungus
Lineage: Eukaryota; Fungi
Description: eukaryotic LSU rRNA
Rfam family: 5.8S ribosomal RNA (bases 115-268)
Source: RNAcentral